UGAGUUCUGCUCUUGGUCUCACUUUACCC
This 29-nucleotide non-coding RNA is filed under the name Homo sapiens (human). The record is from RNAcentral. Lineage: Eukaryota; Metazoa; Chordata; Mammalia; Primates; Hominidae.